CAAUAGCGUAUAUUAAAGUUGUUGCAGUUAGAACGCUCGUAGUCGGAUUUCGGGGCGGGCCGACCGGUCUGCCGAUGGGUACGCACUGGUCGGCGCGUCCUUCCUUCCGGAGACCGUGCCUACUCUUAACUGAGCGGGGGCGGGAGACGGAUCGUUUACUUUGAAAAAAUCAGAGUGUUUCAAGCAGGCAGCUCGCUCUUGCAUGGAUUAGCAUGGGAUAAUGAAAUAGGACUUUGGUGCUAUUUUGUUGGUUUCGAACACCGAAGUAAUGAUUAAAAGGGACAGUCAGGGGCACUCGUAUUCCGCCGAGAGAGGUGAAAUUCUCAGACCAGCGGAAGACGAACUACUGCGAAAGCAUUUGCCAGGGAUGUUUNCACUGA
This 380-nucleotide ribosomal RNA is filed under the name uncultured eukaryote. RNAcentral's name for it is "partial 18S ribosomal RNA". It matches the Rfam family "Eukaryotic small subunit ribosomal RNA", at positions 592 to 976 of the family's 1831-position model. The record is from RNAcentral.